CAGUUUGGAGGUACUGUAAAGAUCCAUAUUUAAAAAUAAAAAAAACAAAUAAAAAAAUCACCAACUGAAUGAAUGCACUGAGCAGAGAUGGGAGGAAUGAGGCAAGUGGACUGUACAGGACUGUGCUGCACAGCAGCAGUGCUGAGCAGAGAUGGGAGGAAUGAGGCAAGUGGACUGUACAGGACUGUGCUGCACAGCGGCAGUGCUGACUAGAGAUGGGAGGAAUGAGGCAAGUGGACUGUACAGGACUGUGCUGCACAGCGGCAGUGCUGACUAGAGAUGGGAGGAAUGAGGCAAGUGGACUGUACAGGACUGUGCUGCACAGCGGCAGUGCUGACUAGAGAUGGGAGGAAUGAGGCAAGUGGACUGUACAGGACUGUGCUGCACAGCAGCAGUGCUGAGCAGAGAUGGGAGGAAUGAGACAAGUGGACUGUACAGGACUGUGCUGCACAGCGGCAGUGCUGAGCAGAGAUGGGAGGAAUGAGGCAAGUGGACUGUACAGGACUGUGCUGCACAGCGGCAGUGCUGAGCAGAGAUGGGAGGAAUGAGGCAAGUGGACUGUACAGGACUGUGCUGCACAGCGGCAGUGCUGAGCAGAGAUGGGAGGAAUGAGGCAAGUGGACUGUACAGGACUGCUGCACAGCGGCAGUGCUGAGCAGAGAUGGGAGGAAUGAGGCAAGUGGACUGUACAGCUCAUUACAUUGGAUCAGGUCUUAGAGGAGCCUGUUUGCACUGUAAAGAACUCAUUACAUUGGAUCAGGUCUUAGAGGAGUCUGUUUGCACAUUGGAUCAGGUCUUGGGGGAGUCUGUUUGCACAUUGGAUCAGGUCUUAGAGGAGUCUGUUUGCACUGUAAAGAACUCAUUACAUUGGAUCAGGUCUUAGAGGAGUCUGUUUGCACAUUGGAUCAGGUCUUAGAGGAGUCUGUUUGCACUGUAAAGAACUCAUUACAUUGGAUCAGGUCUUAGAGGAGUCUGUUUACACAUUGGAUCAGGUCUUGGGGGAGUCUGUUUACACAUUGGAUCAGGUCUUGGGGGAGUCUGUUUGCACAUUGGAUCAGGUCUUUGAGGAGUCUGUUUGCACUGUAAAGAACUCAUUACAUUGGAUCAGGUCUUAGAGGAGUCUGUUUACACAUUGGAUCAGGUCUUGGGGGAGUCUGUUUGCACAUUGGAUCAGGUCUUAGAGGAGUCUGUUUGCACUGUAAAGAACUCAUUACAUUGGAUCAGGCCUUAGAGGAGUCUGUUUGCACAUUUGAUCAGGUCUUGGGGGAGUCUGUUUGCACUGUAAAGAACUCAUUACAUUGGAUCAGGUCUUAGAGGAGUCUGUUUACACAUUGGAUCAGGUCUUGGGGGAGUCUGUUUACACAUUGGAUCAGGUCUUGGGGGAGUCUGUUUGCACAUUGGAUCAGGUCUUAGAGGAGUCUGUUUGCACUGUAAAGAACUCAUUACAUUGGAUCAGGUCUUAGAGGAGUCUGUUUGCACAUUGGAUCAGGUCUUGGGGGAGUCUGUUUGCACAUUGGAUCAGGUCUUGGGGGAGUCUGGUUGUCCACUGUGGUUAAAGAGAAGCUGGACUUGCCUUUGGUUAUUUUAGAGCAACAUAAAAUCUGGUUGUAAAUAAGAAAUAGUGUGUGUUCUGUUUUACUCAGUUAGAUUGCAUCGCAUCACUAAAUGUAUACGAACAAUUGAAUUGACAAUGCAUUUAUUGAUGUGUUGUUUGUGAAUGGUGCACAAGGCUUCUCUACUGUGGAGCUGCUUUCACACAAGCACUCGCACUCUCGAGCACCAGGAGCAUUUAACACAAGCACACAGCAUAGGGGAGGAUCAAUGGAAAGAAAUACACAAGCCAGAAAGACUUGGAUUGCAACCAGUCAAGUGGGAGCAUGGUAUGCAGGCUAUUGUUUCUCUAUAAUGCUUCGCUGGAUACAAAGUGCCCUGUGAGGGAAGCAGCUCGGCGCUUGCUGUAUCUGCAAGGUCACUGCUAGUCAUGUGAGGGCUGUGUUGUGUAUGUGUGUUAUAAGGAGCUGUCUGGAGGACAGCCGUGCAGCACAACAAGAUUAUUAUUAUUUCAAGUUCCCAUUAAUAGCUCUACUGCGUACUUCAUAUUUACUCCACAUGCUCGUAAAUCAUGAAAUCAUUUGGCUACAUUUCUUUUUUUUUAUCGUUUUUAUCUUUAGCUUCACCAUGGUUAGCACACUAUGAAACUCUUUGUGUUGUACGUGUAAUGGGGCAGAGGCUGGGCGGAGGCUGGGUGCAAACCGGUGACCCAACUCUCAGCAAGCGAGUAUCUUAACCAAUUUAGUUCUUUAUGCUGUCUGUCUGCUUCCUUAAGUCUAGGAGUUCUGUCUAACCUAGCCAGCAUGCAUCCACCGCACCGCUCCCAGCUCAGACUGAACUGUGCCACUCAGUCACUGGCUUGGACCAGCUGAUAAAGCCUUCAUUGCUAAUCAGAUCAACCCAUAAAACUUAUCUGCAGUGUGCAACAAAACAUGGGGCGUGUCAGAGGUCUGCUUCCAUAGCAGCUGCCAGCUUCCCCUAAUGUCUGACAGGGUCAGAAGCCAGUCUCUGGGGUCCUUUACCAUUCUGAGUGAUGCUGUACCCAUCCGGAUUCAACCUGGUGCACACUGAUCAGGGCAUGGACCUUAACAAACCCAUCCGGAUUCAACCUGGUGCACACUGUUCAGGGCAUGGACCUUAACACACCCAUCCAGAUUCAACCUGGUACACACUGAUCAGGGCAUGGACCUCGACACACCCAUCCAGAUUCAACCUGGUACACACUGAUCAGGGCAUGGACCUCGACACACCCCACCUGGAUUCAACCUGGUGCACACUGAUCAGGGCAUGGACCUCAACACACCCCACCCGGAUUCAACCUGGUGCACAGUGAUCAGGGCACGGACCUUAACACACCCCAUCCGGAUUCAACCUGGUGCACACUGAUCAUUUCAAGAAUAGUUACAUGCUUACAUGCUUAGGCUUUGUGAGUCGAGCCUUCAUAACAAUCGCUGUUCAGACACAGCAUGGAAUAAACAAUGAACUGGUGAAGAAAGGAGCUGUGCAGACCAGCCGACAUUAAACAUUGUUCUUGUCCAGGGUUUCAGUUGUUCUUCUCCAGGGUUUCU
Molecule: long non-coding RNA, 3119 nt
Organism: Polyodon spathula (Mississippi paddlefish)
Lineage: Eukaryota; Metazoa; Chordata; Actinopteri; Acipenseriformes; Polyodontidae
Exons: 3
Source: RefSeq, a predicted model, not a curated record